UCUCAUGGAUUAUCCUGGCCAAGAUUUUGCUAAAUUGAAAUACACUGAUGCAUAUCUCUUACCAAUUCAGAGGAGUCAAUUCCAUCUUGACUCACAUACCAAUUUGAUAAGUACUUGACUGCAUCUAGUAUCCUUCCAUUAUUAAGUUAGAAACUCAGAUAGUCUAAUACUAAAGUACAGUGAGUUGCUUACAAGUCACCGUGGUGGUCUC
RNAcentral lists this long non-coding RNA (211 nucleotides) under Elaeis guineensis (African oil palm). Its description in RNAcentral is "long non-coding RNA (EGUI_LNC046489)". The record is from RNAcentral. Lineage: Eukaryota; Viridiplantae; Streptophyta; Magnoliopsida; Arecales; Arecaceae.